This 467-nucleotide ribosomal RNA is filed under the name uncultured bacterium. RNAcentral's name for it is "partial 16S ribosomal RNA". It matches the Rfam family "Bacterial small subunit ribosomal RNA", at positions 28 to 507 of the family's 1533-position model. The record is from RNAcentral.
GACGAACGCUGGCGGCGUGCUUAACACAUGCAAGUCGAACGGAAAGGCCUCUUUCGGGGGGUACUCGAGUGGCGAACGGGUGAGUAACACGUGAGUAACCUGCCCUUGACUUUGGGAUAACUUCAGGAAACUGGGGCUAAUACCGGAUAGGAGCUCCUGCUGCAUGGUGGGGGUUGGAAAGUUUCGGCGGUUGGGGAUGGACUCGCGGCUUAUCAGCUUGUUGGUGGGGUAGUGGCUUACCAAGGCUUUGACGGGUAGCCGGCCUGAGAGGGUGACCGCCCACAUUGGGACUGAGAUACGGCCCAGACUCCUACGGGAGGCAGCAGUGGGGAAUAUUGCACAAUGGGUGGAAGCCUGAUGCAGCAACGCCGUGUGCGGGAUGACGGCCUUCGGGUUGUAAACCGCUUUCGCUCAUGACGAAGCUUUGUGUGACGGUAGUGGGUAAAGAAGCACCGGCUAACUACGUG